Molecule: long non-coding RNA, 445 nt
Organism: Bradysia coprophila
Lineage: Eukaryota; Metazoa; Arthropoda; Insecta; Diptera; Sciaridae
Source: RefSeq, a predicted model, not a curated record
UCACAUUUUGGAAUAAUUAAUUGAAACUAUAAAGAGGAGCGAUCAAAUGCUUUCCCUUAUGAAUUGCUAGCGCGGGAAAUUAUUUUCAAUUUCUUUUUCAAAUUUCACCACAAUGACCAAUGUUAUAGUAUAAUAUAAUGACCAUCCAUCCUUUCAUUCUUGAUUUUAUUAUUAUUUUAAAUGAAAUCUAAUUUUUUUUUAAAUCCAAUUGAAUUACUUUUUUUGAUUCUGAUUUUACAAUUCUGAUUUUUGUAAACGUUAAUUAAUAAAUUAAUUAAAAAAAGAAAGAGAGAGAAAGAAAAAAAAACAAAACGAAAACUUGGUUGAUCAUUCAUUCUUUUUAGGAUUUAAAUUAAAUAGUAAGAAAGAUUACAAAUUUGUUAGUUAAGGAUUUGUCGUGCCGUGUGAACGCGUGGAUAAACAAAAAUAAAAAAAAUAAAUUCAA